RNAcentral lists this ribosomal RNA (794 nucleotides) under uncultured fungus. Its description in RNAcentral is "eukaryotic LSU rRNA". The stretch from base 308 to 461 matches the Rfam family "5.8S ribosomal RNA". Lineage: Eukaryota; Fungi. The record is from RNAcentral.
AGUAAAAGUCGUAACAAGGUUUCCGUAGGUGAACCUGCGGAAGGAUCAUUAACGAGUUUUUGAAACGGGUUGUAGCUGGCUUUUUAAAUAAGGCAUGUGCACGUAUUUCUUGAAUCCAUUCAUCCACCUGUGCAUCUUUUGUAGAAUGUCUCUUUUUCAGAUCGGAGUUCUUUUUCUUGCAGGUAUCUUCAGGGACUCUGUGAGGGGGAAUAAUGAUUUUGGAUAGAGCUUCUAUGUUUUAUAAACAAGUUAAGCAUGUUUAGAAUGUCGUUUUAUUGGGACUUGAUUGACCCUUUAAACUUUGUACAACUUUCAGCAACGGAUCUCUUGGCUCUCCCAUCGAUGAAGAACGCAGCGAAAUGCGAUAAGUAAUGUGAAUUGCAGAAUUCAGUGAAUCAUCGAAUCUUUGAACGCACCUUGCGCCCUCUGGUAUUCCGGAGGGCAUGCCUGUUUGAGUGUCAUUAAAUUCUCAACUUCAUUGGUUUUUAUAACUGAUUGAAGCUUGGAUGUGGGGGUUUGCUGGUGUCAUUAAGAUGUUUUCGGCUCCCCUUAAAUGCAUUAGUAGGAACCCGUUUUGUUGGCGUCCUUGGUGUGAUAAUUAUCUACGCUUUGGUUAGUCUGACAGGCUCUAAUGAAGCUUAUACUGUGAGGUUUUGCACAUUGGGUGCUUUUCCUGAGUAUGGGGUUUUGUAUUCUUAUGAAUGCUUUACCUGAUCUUUUUUCAUUAGAGUAGGAACUCUGCUCUCGAACUGUCUGCGUAUUGUAGACAACUUUUGACAACUUGACCUCAAAUC